Gouania willdenowi (blunt-snouted clingfish) is the source of this 2996-nucleotide long non-coding RNA. The record is from Ensembl. Lineage: Eukaryota; Metazoa; Chordata; Actinopteri; Blenniiformes; Gobiesocidae.
CUCUCCCUUUAGCCUUGGGAUCCUCCUCAGUCCCACCUGAGCUUACACUUACACCUGCAGUGAGGCGAGACUAUCUGAGCCAGGAUCUUCACCCAGGCUAGAACACAGCGGGCAGGAAGCUGCAGGGGCUUCGUAUGUAACCAGUAGCAACUGUGCUAAUCUAAAUUCCUCAUGAACACCUUCCAUCAAGCGCCUGAUGAUCCAUGCAGGACCCUCCCUGGCCUUAAAGAUGCGAGGCUGUAAGGUCCCACUAUUCCCACAACUGCUCCCAAUAACCCCAGUGACUGCUGGGCUGUCACUCAAAUCAAACUUCCGACCAACACUGAGCAGAUCAAGCCUGCUGGCAUUGAAGCAUAUACACACAUUCACACAGAAGAAAGGGGCUUUAAAGAUGAAUGUGUGUGUGGGGGGGGUUCCCUGUCAGCACCUGCUGGGCCUCACGGAGACGCUGCAAAGACAGGGAUACACUCCUGUGCUCAUACACACCACGGGGCAGUAGCUGCGACGGAGACACUUUCAUUUAAGUCGUAUUUACACAACCUCCCUCCAAUGUUGCCUCCACCAUCCAUAAUCUGAGGAACAUGCUGACCAGCUGUGGGCCAGGUUGAAGAAACUCACGUUUUUCCCAUAUUCAAUUGAAAUAAUACAACUCCUAAUAUAAUGUACAUAAUAUACAAAUAUGUUAAGUGCCAUACAACACAGUGACUGAAGAAAAUAUAUAUGAAUUCAUUUGUUGUUCUUCAUGUGACUUGGUUCUUCUUCUGUUGCACAAUUCUUCUUCACAAUGUAAAUGGUGAAGCGAUACUGCACAGCAGUUCAUGUUUGGUAAAAGGAAGCAGCCGUCGGCUUUAUUUUAUCAUGAACUUACCAGGGCUGAGCUGCUUUCUUCUUGUAAAUAGGACAUUAUACGCUAUACAUUUUUUUUUACUGCAUUUUUACUGUUUUGGACUAAAUCCUUGGAUUCAUUGGAUUUUUUUAAUGUCUUUGAUGGACUAUGUGGAUUCAUUGUAAGACAUGGCAUCGCUUUAAAGAUGAGCAGUUCUGGCUUGUUUGACGCCAUUUUUUUUUCCAAGUUUGACAAAAUAAUUGACUGCGUUUGCUGUGUCUUAGAAUGGUUACUUUAUAUGGUUAAAGACGGAAGAUUCUCAACUUUCAAACGGUAUAUGAUACUUGUGAUGUGCUGCUGUAUUUAAGAAACAUUUAAAAGCACGAAUGAGUGAAAACAUGCAUUUUAACCUGCAUUCGGGAUGGUGGACAUUAUUCAAUGACGCGUCGACGCAAAUAUUUGUAGUCAACAUUAUCAAUUAUGUUACUAAUCAUUUUUGUAUGACUGUAUAUGUUGCACACGUUGUGGUUGGCGUGAAUCUUGAGAAUUAAUUUUUUUCUUUCUUUUGCCCAACCCCCCGCCCCACCCCCCUCUGGCUACAAACUCCGCCUAUGCAUGUACCCCAAAUGACAAAAAGGUACACAGGAGUCUAAAGUUACACACACACCGUCACAUCAACGUUCACCUUGAGUCGGACAAUUUGAUCAAUCUCACAGAAACGCAGACUCAUUUCUCUCUACGAAUGAGAAAGCUCUCAAUUAAUUUUAUCUGCACAACCAAAAAAAAAAAAAAAAAAAAAAAAAAAAAAAAAAAAAAACUCACAGACACAUGCAGCACAUGCACGGGGAUGUACACACCAGGUCCAUUAAGCUCAUGUGUUGGGACCAAACCACGACCUAGAGUGCUCUUUCAUGGCUCCAUCAUUACUUCAAUAAGUCCUCACAUUAAUCUUAGCGCAGCAGAGCACACCAGGCUAUUACUAAAGCAGCCCUGCACCACAGAGGCCUGCUCUGAAACACACCCAGAGCUGAAAAAGUAGAAAAAUGUACUCUGGAUACUUGAAAAACACACAGACGUGCUCUGUUUGACUCAAUUUGGAAGGAAAUCAUCCACUUCUGAGACGGGGGGAAGAUUUCAUACACCUAUAGUCAUUCAAAUGCAUGAAAUCAUAUAUACAUAUGGUUGAAAACCUUUUGGUAAAAAGUCCCAUUAGAAGAAUUUUCAGAGUACGUGUUCAUUUGAUACACAGCCUAACAUUAUUUUAAGAAACCUGGUAUCAUUUGUGGCCAAAAACGCCUUUUGCCAAAGUCUCUUCAGACCUAUGUAACAUAUGAUCACACCCUAAUGAAGCUUGGGAAAGCGCGGUGAAGAGUGUCGGAUCAACUCCGUUGCCUGCUUUUAGUGAAGAGCACCUGGCCCAGAAUUAAUCAGUAGGACGAGAUGAGGUGACAAGUCUAGGCUGCCUUCACAAACACAUCGUCAGUCACACACAAAAUGAAAAAGAAAUGCAGUUUAGGCUGUUGUGUUCAGCUGAAGAAAGAAGAAGAAGAAAAAAAGAGAAAAGAGAGAGGAACCGAGGGGAGGCCUCGUCUGUCUGGACAGGAAAGGGGGUUCUUUAACCCCUGACCCCAGUCCACUAUUUGUCUGAGGGCGUGUGUGUAUGUUUAUUCUUCAGAAUGUGCCUCAGAACAGGUUCUGGAGGCACUAGCCUGGUGGACACAUGGCACUGGUCAUGGAAGCCCAUGCAGGUGCUCCAGCUUUGGGCUGCGAGGGGUUUCCUGCCCUGAGGGGCGAGAGACUAUUUCAUGUGGGGUGUUCAUCAUCUGCAGCGGAUUCCUGCUGUUCCUCAGCACCAAGAGGAAAAGAAAAAAGGGAAGGAGUAGGAAAAGGAAAAGGUGGAGAAUGUGUUGAGCUGUAAAACGCAUAAAGAACGUUCACUUUUAUGAUGCUCUUGAAUGAGAAACCAUCACUGAUGCAAGGACCACGGCAAAAAGUGAUAAAAACUUUCCUCAGCUUUCCUCUGUUCUUUGUUUUCAUCAAUUUAAACCACAAAUGUGGGAUAGGAAGUAGUAAGAGAGUGGUUGGGGUCAAGGGUCAACGUUACACAGGCUCCCCUGAAGCUAAAGGUGGUCAAAAUAAACUUUGGGCGUUUUGAGUUUCUGGGCCUCCC